GUCAAAUCAGGGUAAGGGAUAUUUCCUCCAUCUAGACUUGCUUUUGUAGGAUCUAAAUAAUUUACAAAAAAAUGUAAAGAAAGAAAAUAACUAUAAAUAUAUAUAUAGGUACAAAUAUAUACAUGUAACAUGUAUAUGUACGUACAGAUAUAUAUUGUUCAUUUGUCAGACACCACUAAUUUAAUAAUUAUUUGUCAUGCAAUAAUUAUGAUUUUAAUUCAUUAAUGAUAUAGGCUCGACACUUGA
This 246-nucleotide long non-coding RNA is filed under the name Elaeis guineensis (African oil palm). Its description in RNAcentral is "long non-coding RNA (EGUI_LNC029252)". The record is from RNAcentral. Lineage: Eukaryota; Viridiplantae; Streptophyta; Magnoliopsida; Arecales; Arecaceae.